Molecule: ribosomal RNA, 471 nt
Filed under: uncultured bacterium
Lineage: Bacteria
Description: SSU rRNA
Rfam family: Bacterial small subunit ribosomal RNA
Source: RNAcentral
AGGACGAACGCUGGCGGCGUGCUUAACACAUGCAAGUCGAGCGAGGCCCUUCCUUCGGGGAGGUGCCCUAGCGGCGAACGGGUGAGUAACACGUGGGCAACCUGCCCCUAGCACUGGGAUAACUCCGGGAAACCGGGGCUAAUACCAGAUAUGACCUUCUUGGGCAUCCUCGAAGGUGUAAAGGAUUCUGGCUAGGGAUGGGCCCGCGGCCUAUCAGCUUGUUGGUGGGGUAAUGGCCUACCAAGGCGACGACGGGUAGCCGGCCUGAGAGGGUGACCGGCCACACUGGGACUGAGACACGGCCCAGACUCCUACGGGAGGCAGCAGUGGGGAAUCUUGCACAAUGGGCGAAAGCCUGAAGCAGCAACGCCGCGUGUGCGAUGACGGCCUUCGGUUGUAAGCACUUUUGCUGGGAAGAGGAAGGACGGUACCGGCAGAAUAAGCCUCGGCUAACUACGUGCCAGCAGCCGC